ACGACGAGGUAGAUAGGGCAGAGGUGGAAGCAUGGCAACAUGUGCAGCUGACUGUCACUAAUAGGUCGAGGGCUUAACCA
RNAcentral lists this ribosomal RNA (80 nucleotides) under Hungatella effluvii. RNAcentral's name for it is "partial 23S ribosomal RNA". Lineage: Bacteria; Bacillati; Bacillota; Clostridia; Lachnospirales; Lachnospiraceae. The record is from RNAcentral.